This 363-nucleotide ribosomal RNA is filed under the name uncultured bacterium. Its description in RNAcentral is "bacterial SSU rRNA". It matches the Rfam family "Bacterial small subunit ribosomal RNA", at positions 28 to 383 of the family's 1533-position model. The record is from RNAcentral.
GACGAACGCUGGCGGCGCGCUUAACACAUGCAAGUCGAACGAGAAGGCGUAGCAAUACGCUUGUACAGUGGCGAACGGGUGAGUAAUACGUGGGCGACCUACCCUCGAGUGGGGAAUAACCCGCCGAAAGGCGGGCUAAUGCCGCGUACGCUUCCAUCUUCAUGGAGGUGGAAGGAAAGCCGUGCCGUGGGCACGGCGCUCAAGGAUGGGCUCACGUCCUAUCAGCUUGUUGGAGGGUAACGGCCUACCAAGGCUCCGACGGGUAGCUGGUCUGAGAGGACGAUCAGCCACACUGGCACUGCGACACGGGCCAGACUCCUACGGGAGGCAGCAGUGAGGAAUAUUGCGCAAUGGGCGAAAGCC